RNAcentral lists this long non-coding RNA (1050 nucleotides) under Volvox carteri. RNAcentral describes it as "long non-coding RNA (VCAR_LNC000912)". Lineage: Eukaryota; Viridiplantae; Chlorophyta; Chlorophyceae; Chlamydomonadales; Volvocaceae. The record is from RNAcentral.
CAACUCCUGCAUCGAUGUGUGCAAUGUUUCGGGCGGCGAACGUUGCAGGGGUCGUUUUCGCAGUAAGAUUUAGGGUAAUUUUCAACCCCAGCUAGCGGUAAUAAAAUAUGUAUAAAACAAGACGUUGUUAGACACUCCCUCGCUGCAUUUCUGUUGCAGAAUCCAGCUGCCGCGAAUGAAAACGCCUCAGCACUCGUGUGUCCUUGCGCCUUGUUGGGCGCUGGCCGCGUCUAACGACGCAAGGCCCAACUGAGCAUCCCGGGUUACGCCUUUGCUUUGUUACAAUGGUAUCGAGACGGGGCCGCACGAAUUCCGACGAAAUCUUCGGGUCGGCGGUUCGAUUUUGACAACAUGCAGGUAUCGCAGAAUGCGAUAUCAUGGGUAAUGGAUAAACCAGCGCACAAUGCGUGAGGUGGGAUGGCUCCAAUGCUCGAUAUAAUGGCCGCGGACGUCCAUUGCUAAAGGGGGGGCAAUGUAACGACGCAAGGCCCAACUGAGCAUCCCGGGUUACGCCUUUGCUUUGUUACACCGCGGGUCACGCAGACGAGUUGGUUCUUGCCCACCUUUCAGGUCCCUAGAUGCUUGCCUCUCUUAUUCAAUAACACCGCAACCUGGCAAGAAUGACGUGAUAGGAGGCGCUGCGGCCCCAUUCUUGCCAGGUUGCACAAAGAGUAAUUGUGUCUCAGUCCGAGCAUGCUCGUCCAUUUUUCAUCCAGCAUCUAAUAGGUUCUUGCCCACCUUCCAGGUGGGUAAACCAACCUGCACAGCUGCAUGGCGGGAUCGUGACUGCGCUUGUGGCCUCCAAGGCACAAAACAGGUACAAGACGAAGAAUUUUAGUGUAGUGUGGAGUUUGUUACACGAGCACAACUCAUCAGUUAGUUUUGCUCCUCGUAAGCUUUCCGUCGGUAAUCGCACCUCAUUCGACUUACCAUACUCCUACCAUUUAUCAUCAGCCAACAACAUACGCUGCAGCACCCCGAACCACACCCACUACACGGUAAGACAUUUAUUUAGGUGGGCAAGCCUAGCUUACAUACGCUUAGCGUGAG